CAAAAAAUGUGUUCAUCCAAUUCACACACAACACAAGAAUGGAUUCUCUCAGAACAACCCUUUUCAUUGGAGUUUUUUGCACAACAUUGCUCAUGUCUUCCCAUGAAAAGAGUUUAGGUAAAUUUAUAUUCCAUUUCCCUUGUUUCAUUUCCCAUUUCCCCAAGUAUAGCAAUUUUAUUUUUAAUUUUUCUGAAUUUUCAGUAGCAGGCUUCGAAGGCUUCGAUGGAGUUAAUGACUAUGUUGUUAUAGGACGUUGUAGGUCGGAUGAAGAGUGCAUCAAGUUUUGCAAAACAGAUGGUUAUAGUGGGGGCAGGUGUACAAUUCCAGAUACGCCCUUUGGACCUCAACUUUGUCUAUGCAAGACUGGAGCUAGAAUUGCAUUUCAGAGUUUUGAUUAAUAAGGAAUUUUGGGAUGUCAAAUAUUUUAUGAAAUAAUAAAAUAAGAAAAAAUAAAAAAAUAAAAUCCUUAGUUUAUCAAUGUCUUCCUAGGCACUCUUAAUUGAUUGAUGGAUGAUUGUGUGUUUAAUAGAUAUGUGAAAG
RNAcentral lists this long non-coding RNA (540 nucleotides) under Olea europaea subsp. europaea. The record is from RNAcentral. Lineage: Eukaryota; Viridiplantae; Streptophyta; Magnoliopsida; Lamiales; Oleaceae.